Molecule: unclassified non-coding RNA, 180 nt
Filed under: uncultured Pseudofusicoccum
Lineage: Eukaryota; Fungi; Ascomycota; Dothideomycetes; Botryosphaeriales; Botryosphaeriaceae
Description: sequence contains ITS1
Source: RNAcentral
CCGAGUUUUGGGUCUCUUCACCGAGCCCACUCUCCAACCCUUUGUGUACCUACCUCUGUUGCUUUGGCGGGCCGCGGUUCUCCGCGGCCGGCCCCCUAGCCGGGGCUGGCCUGCGCCCGCCAGAGGACCACAAAACUCCAGUCAGUGAACUUUGCUGUCUGAUAUAAAUUCAAUAAACUA